CCUACGGGAGGCAGCAGUGGGGAAUAUUGGGCAAUGGGCGCAAGCCUGACCCAGCAACGCCGCGUGAAGGAAGAAGGCUUUCGGGUUGUAAACUUCUUUUUUCCGGGACGCAGCAAGUGACGGUACCUCACGAAUAAGCCACGGCUAACUACGUGCCUGCAGCCGCGGUAAUCCGUAGGUGGCAAGCGUUAUCCGGAUUUACUGGGUGUAAAGGGCGUGUAGGCGGGGAAGCAAGUCAGAUGUGAAAACCACGGGCCCAACCUGUGGCCUGCAUUUGAAACUGGUUGUCUUGAGUGCUGGAGAGGCAAGCGGAAUUCCGUGUGUAGCGGUGAAAUGCAUAGAUAUCACGCAGAACCCCGAUUGCGAAGGCAGCCUUCCGGCGCCCUACUGACGCUGAGGCACGAAAGUGCGGGUAUCGAACAGGAUUAGAUACCCUAGUAGUC
RNAcentral lists this ribosomal RNA (443 nucleotides) under uncultured bacterium. Its description in RNAcentral is "partial 16S ribosomal RNA". It matches the Rfam family "Bacterial small subunit ribosomal RNA", at positions 338 to 795 of the family's 1533-position model. The record is from RNAcentral.